GGGGGUGCCCUUAACUUGUUUGGACAUAGCAGUCGAGCGGACCAAAGGGAGCUUGCUCCUAGGAGGUUAGCGGCGAACGGGUGAGUAACACGUGGGCAACCUGCCUGUAAGACUGGGAUAACAUCGAGAAAUCGGUGCUAAUACCGGAUAAUAAAAAGAACUGCAUGGUUCUUUUUUGAAAGAUGGUUUCGGCUAUCACUUACAGAUGGGCCCGCGGCGCAUUAGCUAGUUGGUGAGGUAACGGCUCACCAAGGCGACGAUGCGUAGCCGACCUGAGAGGGUGAUCGGCCACACUGGGACUGAGACACGGCCCAGACUCCUACGGGAGGCAGCAGUAGGGAAUCUUCCGCAAUGGACGAAAGUCUGACGGAGCAACGCCGCGUGAGUGAUGAAGGUUUUCGGAUCGUAAAACUCUGUUGUUAGGGAAGAACAAGUGCCGUUCGAAAGGGCGGCACCUUGACGGUACCUAACGAGAAAGCCACGGCUAACUACGUGCCAGCAGCCGCGGUAAUACGUAGGUGGCAAGCGUUGUCCGGAAUUAUUGGGCGUAAAGCGCGCGCAGGCGGUCUCUUAAGUCUGAUGUGAAAGCCCCCGGCUCAACCGGGGAGGGUCAUUGGAAACUGGGAGACUUGAGUACAGAAGAGGAGAGUGGAAUUCCACGUGUAGCGGUGAAAUGCGUAGAGAUGUGGAGGAACACCAGUGGCGAAUGCGACUCUCUGGUCUGUAACUGACGCUGAGGCGCGAAAGCGUGGGGAGCAAACAGGAUUAGAUACCCUGGUAGUCCACGCCGUAUACGAUGAGUGCUAGGUGUUAGGGGUGUUCGACGCCCUUAGUGCCGGAAGUUAACACAUUAAGCACUCCGCCUGGGGGAGUACGACCAGAAGGGUGGAGACUCAUAGGAAUUGAACGGGGGGCGCGCGCCAGCAGUGUAGCAUGUGGUUUAAUUCGAAGCAACGCGGAGAGACCUUACCAAGUCGUGGACAUGCUUUGACAACCCUAAAGAUAGGGCUUUUCCCCUUCGGGACAAAAUGACCGUGGUGCAUGGUUGUCGUCACCCCUGUCGUGAGAUGUUGGGUUAAGUCCCGCACCAAGCGCACCGUUGACCUUAGUUGCCAGCAUUCACUUUGUCACUCUAAGGUAACUGCCCGUUGACAGCCGCAGGAAGAGUGGGAUGGCGUUCGAUAUCAUCUCAUGCCCCUUAUGCACCUGGCUACACACGCGUGCCUACACAUCGUCGUGUACCGAAGGUUGCCGUACCCGCCGCGGUGAACGCCAUUCGCGGAGAGGCCCUUCGUUGAAUCUCGUAGAUGCGCAUGGCUAUCGUA
Molecule: ribosomal RNA, 1325 nt
Filed under: Halalkalibacterium halodurans
Lineage: Bacteria; Bacillati; Bacillota; Bacilli; Caryophanales; Bacillaceae
Description: bacterial SSU rRNA
Rfam family: Bacterial small subunit ribosomal RNA
Source: RNAcentral